UACGUAGGGACCAAGCGUUGUCCGGAAUCAUUGGGCGUAAAGCGCGCGUAGGUGGCCAUUUAAGUCCGCUGUGAAAGUCAGAGGCUCAACCUUUGAAAGCCGGUGGAUACUGGAUGGCUAGAGUACGGAAGAGGCGAGUGGAAUUCCUGGUGUAGCGGUGGAAUGCGCAGAUAUCAGGAGGAACACCAAUAGCGAAGGCAGCUCGCUGGGACGUUACUGACACUAAGGCGCGAAAGCGUGGGGAGCAAACAGG
Molecule: ribosomal RNA, 253 nt
Filed under: uncultured bacterium
Lineage: Bacteria
Description: partial 16S ribosomal RNA
Rfam family: Bacterial small subunit ribosomal RNA
Source: RNAcentral